CCCAAACAAAGGAGAAAAUGUUUCUAGAUGGAGAGAAGAAACUAAAGAAUCUCGACUUUGAAGGCUGGCAGAGGCUGUUUCAGCAAUGUCGAGAUUCAGACCUACAAACCACCUGGCCUGCAGAAGCGUGGCUUAGCUCCGAGGGACAUCCCCGCCUCCAGAAGACCAUCCGGCCAAGCUCCCUCCCAGACUUACACCCUGAACGAUCAGCCUGAACGCUGCUCCUCCCCCGUGAGAAACUACCGAUCAAACACCGCUGAUCCCCGAGCCGCGACGUCAUUGUUUACCCCCGUGACAGACCCGUAGGCCUCAACCAACUACCCUCAUAGUUGGCGACUCAAUCGUCAAGAACAUUCAGCAUCUGCUGUCCACUCAGUCUCUGGUGCAAAGGUCUCUGACAUUACGCUGCAGCUUCCCAGUUCUUCCCAGCUGCAACUUCCCUUUCUUUUACAGAAACACCAUUCAGUGGAGAGGAUAAUAACCCACGUGGGGUUUAAUGACAUCAAAAAUCAGAGCACAGAACUGUUAAAAAAGGACUUCACAUGCCUGUUAUCCUCCAUACAAGACUGGUUUUUAAUUUUAAAUGACAACUCAAGACCUACAAUGCAAGUUCAAUUAUACCAGUAGUCAUUAGUAGUAGAAGACCUAGGACCAGCAUUUUUACAAGAAAUGCCAAUAAUCCUCAUAAUUUUAAUGUUCUUAUUAAUCGUGAUAAUCUUA
Long non-coding RNA from Pygocentrus nattereri (red-bellied piranha), 720 nucleotides. RefSeq lists it as uncharacterized. The record is from RefSeq and is a predicted model, not a curated record. NCBI's taxonomy places the organism in Eukaryota, Metazoa, Chordata, Actinopteri, Characiformes, Serrasalmidae. The transcript is spliced from 3 exons.